AUGAACGCUGGCGGCGUGCCUAAUCCCUGCAAGUCGAGCGAACGGACGAGAAGCUUGCUUCUCUGAUGUUAGCGGCGGACGGGUGAGUAACACGUGGAUAACCUACCUAUAAGACUGGGAUAACUUCGGGAAACCGGAUCUAAUACCGGAUGAUAUUUUGAACCGCAUGGUUCAAAAGUGAAAGACGGUCUUGCUGUCACUUAUAGAUGGAUCCGCGCUGCAUUAGCUAGUUGGUAAGGUAACGGCUUACCAAGGCAACGAUGCAUAGCCGACCUGAGAGGGUGAUCGGCCACACUGGAACUGAGACACGGUCCAGACUCCUACGGGAGGCAGCAGUAGGGAAUCUUCCGCAAUGGGCGAAAGCCUGACGGAGCAACGCCGCGUGAGUGAUGAAGGUCUUCGGAUCGUAAAACUCUGUUAUUAGGGAAGAACAUAUGUGUAAGUAACUGUGCACAUCUUGACGGUACCUAAUCAGAAAGCCACGGCUAACUACGUG
RNAcentral lists this ribosomal RNA (496 nucleotides) under uncultured bacterium. Its description in RNAcentral is "partial 16S ribosomal RNA". It matches the Rfam family "Bacterial small subunit ribosomal RNA", at positions 29 to 507 of the family's 1533-position model. The record is from RNAcentral.